Molecule: long non-coding RNA, 625 nt
Organism: Hyposmocoma kahamanoa
Lineage: Eukaryota; Metazoa; Arthropoda; Insecta; Lepidoptera; Cosmopterigidae
Exons: 3
Source: RefSeq, a predicted model, not a curated record
GUGCCGCAUUUGUUUGAAAAGGCAAUCCGAAAACCGUGUAAAAUUCGAUGCUGACAGCGAAUGGUCAAAAUUAUUUUAUUUUUGCACCGAUAUAUCAGUUCCCAACAUUGGUGACAAAGCUCCGAAAAUAUUUUGCGGUGAAUGUGCUACAUUAUUAAAACAAUAUGCAGAAUUUAAAAAGCUCAGUCGAAAACAUGAUGCAUUAUGGAAAAAACUCGCCAUAAACUUGAAAAAACAGAGAAAAGCUAGAGGUAUGCCAAAACAGCAUGGAAGGUAUGCUUAUAAUUACUAAGCGGAAAACUCAAAAUCCUAAAAGGGCAUUACCAAUAGGCAAAAAGAAAAGGAACUUUGUUGCAAUAAUAUUAAAGAAACAUCUUCAAUGUCACCAAGGAUCAUUGUAAUGUGUAUUAAAAUACUGAUUUUAAACAUCUGAGACGCCAUCCAUAAUUUGAAUUGUGUUACAAAUUUUACUGGUUAAUAGGAGUGAGAAAACUUGAUCAGAAGACUGUAGCUAAUGCUGUUGACCUGUGUUAGAAAUAGAAAACAAAUUUAUGGAGCAAGUCAAUAGAAGCACUAGAAGUGAGAUUUAUUAGAAAUACUGGUGGCUUUUUAUUGUCCAAUUCAU